UACGGGGGGAGCAAGCGUUGUUCGGAUUUACUGGGCGUAAAGGGCGCGUAGGCGGCGCGACAAGUCACUUGUGAAAUCUCCGGGCUUAACUCGGAGCGGCCAAGUGAUACUGUCGUGCUAGAGUGCGGAAGGGGCAACUGGAAUUCUCGGUGUAGCGGUGAAAUGCGUAGAUAUCGAGAGGAACACCUGCGGCGAAGGCGGGUUGCUGGGCCGACACUGACGCUGAGGCGCGAAAGCCAGGGGAGCAAACGGG
Molecule: ribosomal RNA, 253 nt
Filed under: uncultured bacterium
Lineage: Bacteria
Description: partial 16S ribosomal RNA
Rfam family: Bacterial small subunit ribosomal RNA
Source: RNAcentral